GAUGAACGCUGGCGGCGUGCCUAAUACAUGCAAGUCGAGCGAACAGAUGAGGAGCUUGCUCCUCUGACGUUAGCGGCGGACGGGUGAGUAACACGUGGAUAACCUACCUAUAAGACUGGGAUAACUUCGGGAAACCGGAGCUAAUACCGGAUAAUAUAUUGAACCGCAUGGUUCAUUAGUGAAAGACGGUUUUGCUGUCACUUAUAGAUGGAUCCGCGCCGCAUUAGCUAGUUGGUAAGGUAACGGCUUACCAAGGCAACGAUGCGUAGCCGACCUGAGAGGGUGAUCGGCCACACUGGAACUGAGACACGGUCCAGACUCCUACGGGAGGCAGCAGUAGGGAAUCUUCCGCAAUGGGCGAAAGCCUGACGGAGCAACGCCGCGUGAGUGAUGAAGGUCUUCGGAUCGUAAAACUCUGUUAUUAGGGAAGAACAAAUGCGUAAGUAACUAUGCACGUCUUGACGGUACCUAAUCAGAAAGCCACGGCUAACUACGUG
RNAcentral lists this ribosomal RNA (497 nucleotides) under uncultured bacterium. RNAcentral describes it as "partial 16S ribosomal RNA". It matches the Rfam family "Bacterial small subunit ribosomal RNA", at positions 28 to 507 of the family's 1533-position model. The record is from RNAcentral.